Molecule: non-coding RNA, 309 nt
Organism: Cinara cedri
Lineage: Eukaryota; Metazoa; Arthropoda; Insecta; Hemiptera; Aphididae
Source: the annotation of a GenBank genome assembly
GAGCGGGUAAUUUUUUUAUUCCCCCGGGAGUUUUCAUGGUAAAUGGGAAAAACCGGGAAAAAACGUAAGGAAAACGGGAAAAUGUACAAUAUUAUUUUUAAAUCGUAAAUAUUACGGUCUUUCAAACCACGCACAACCGAACUCCGUUCGGAAUCGUUUUUCGUUAGAAGUGAUUAAUUGAUGCGUACGGAUAUAUAUUAAAUUUCCCCUCUACCUUUCCAACUUGUCAGCUACAACAGUGGCCCAUCCAUCGUGCGAACUAUGUGUCCGAUUGUUCUUAAUGGUAAUUUGGAUUUUAUAGAUUUCAUU